RNAcentral lists this ribosomal RNA (898 nucleotides) under Collariella quadrangulata. RNAcentral's name for it is "LSU rRNA". It matches the Rfam family "Eukaryotic large subunit ribosomal RNA", at positions 34 to 965 of the family's 3401-position model. Lineage: Eukaryota; Fungi; Ascomycota; Sordariomycetes; Sordariales; Chaetomiaceae. The record is from RNAcentral.
UUAAGCAUAUCAAUAAGCGGAGGAAAAGAAACCAACAGGGAUUGCCCUAGUAACGGCGAGUGAAGCGGCAACAGCUCAAAUUUGAAAUCUGGCUUCGGCCCGAGUUGUAAUUUGUAGAGGAAGCUUUAGGCGCGGCACCUUCUGAGUCCCCUGGAACGGGGCGCCAUAGAGGGUGAGAGCCCCGUAUAGUUGGAUGCCUAGCCUGUGUAAAGCUCCUUCGACGAGUCGAGUAGUUUGGGAAUGCUGCUCAAAAUGGGAGGUAAAUUUCUUCUAAAGCUAAAUACCGGCCAGAGACCGAUAGCGCACAAGUAGAGUGAUCGAAAGAUGAAAAGCACUUUGAAAAGAGGGUUAAAUAGCACGUGAAAUUGUUGAAAGGGAAGCGCUUGUGACCAGACUUGCGCCGGGCGGAUCAUCCGGUGUUCUCACCGGUGCACUCCGCCCGGCUCAGGCCAGCAUCGGUUCUCGCGGGGGGAUAAAGGUCCUGGGAACGUAGCUCCUCCGGGAGUGUUAUAGCCCAGGGCGUAAUGCCCUCGCGGGGACCGAGGUUCGCGCAUCUGCAAGGAUGCUGGCGUAAUGGUCAUCAGCGACCCGUCUUGAAACACGGACCAAGGAGUCAAGGUUUUGCGCGAGUGUUUGGGUGUAAAACCCGCACGCGUAAUGAAAGUGAACGUAGGUGAGAGCUUCGGCGCAUCAUCGACCGAUCCUGAUGUAUUCGGAUGGAUUUGAGUAAGAGCGUUAAGCCUUGGACCCGAAAGAUGGUGAACUAUGCUUGGAUAGGGUGAAGCCAGAGGAAACUCUGGUGGAGGCUCGCAGCGGUUCUGACGUGCAAAUCGAUCGUCAAAUCUGAGCAUGGGGGCGAAAGACUAAUCGAACCAUCUAGUAGCUGGUUACCGCCGAA